AGAGUUUGAUCCUGGCUCAGAUUGAACGCUGGCGGCAUGCCUUACACAUGCAAGUCGAACGGUAACAGGUCUUCGGAUGCUGACGAGUGGCGAACGGGUGAGUAAUACAUCGGAACGUGCCCGAUCGUGGGGGAUAACGAAGCGAAAGCUUUGCUAAUACCGCAUACGAUCUACGGAUGAAAGCAGGGGACCGCAAGGCCUUGCGCGAACGGAGCGGCCGAUGGCAGAUUAGGUAGUUGGUGGGGUAAAAGCUUACCAAGCCGACGAUCUGUAGCUGGUCUGAGAGGACGACCAGCCACACUGGGACUGAGACACGGCCCAGACUCCUACGGGAGGCAGCAGUGGGGAAUUUUGGACAAUGGGCGAAAGCCUGAUCCAGCCAUGCCGCGUGCAGGAUGAAGGCCUUCGGGUUGUAAACUGCUUUUGUACGGAACGAAAAGACUCUGGUUAAUACCUGGGGUCCAUGACGGUACCGUAAGAAUAAGCACCGGCUAACUACGUGCCAGCAGCCGCGGUAAUACGUAGGGUGCAAGCGUUAAUCGGAAUUACUGGGCGUAAAGCGUGCGCAGGCGGUUAUAUAAGACAGAUGUGAAAUCCCCGGGCUCAACCUGGGAACUGCAUUUGUGACUGUAUAGCUAGAGUACGGCAGAGGGGAUGGAAUUCCGCGUGUAGCAGUGAAAUGCGUAGAUAUGCGGAGGAACACCGAUGGCGAA
RNAcentral lists this ribosomal RNA (713 nucleotides) under uncultured bacterium. Its description in RNAcentral is "bacterial SSU rRNA". It matches the Rfam family "Bacterial small subunit ribosomal RNA", at positions 8 to 719 of the family's 1533-position model. The record is from RNAcentral.